UGGCUGCAGUUGGAAAUAUUGGGCAAUGGGCUAAGGCCUGAUCCAGCCAUAUAGUAAGAGUGAGACAAUAAAACUCUAAAGAAAAGAAAAAUAAUGAUAUAACUUUUCUACUAAUCCUGACCAAUCUCGUGCCAGCAGUCGCGGUAAUACGAGAAGGAUAAGCGUAAUUCAUUAUAUCUAGGUGUAAAGGGUCUGUAGGCGGCGAAAGCUAGAGUGUAAUAUAGGAAAGAGGAAUUACUAAGGAGGGAUGAAAUCUGAAAAUUUAGUGAAGAACAUCAAAGGCGAAGGCAUCUUUCUAAAAUACACUGACGCUAAGAGACUAAAGUGUGGGUAGCGAAAAGGAUUAGAUACAAAUU
RNAcentral lists this ribosomal RNA (356 nucleotides) under Neoconidiobolus couchii. Its description in RNAcentral is "SSU rRNA". It matches the Rfam family "Bacterial small subunit ribosomal RNA", at positions 346 to 789 of the family's 1533-position model. Lineage: Eukaryota; Fungi; Entomophthoromycota; Entomophthoromycetes; Entomophthorales; Neoconidiobolaceae. The record is from RNAcentral.